Molecule: transfer RNA, 77 nt
Filed under: Salmonella enterica subsp. enterica serovar Typhi
Lineage: Bacteria; Pseudomonadati; Pseudomonadota; Gammaproteobacteria; Enterobacterales; Enterobacteriaceae
Description: tRNA-Lys
Rfam family: tRNA
About the family: Transfer RNA (tRNA) molecules are approximately 80 nucleotides in length.
Source: RNAcentral
GGGUCGUUAGCUCAGUUGAGUACAGCAGUUGACUUUUAAUCAAUUGGUCGCAGGUUCGAAUCCUGCACGACCCACCA